Triticum urartu is the source of this 414-nucleotide non-coding RNA. Lineage: Eukaryota; Viridiplantae; Streptophyta; Magnoliopsida; Poales; Poaceae. The record is from RefSeq and is a predicted model, not a curated record.
UUCAUGAGUAAUGGAAUGUUAAUUGGCUGGUGGCGGCAUGUUCAACUAUGGGAAAUGAUGAGCUCCUACUUUUAUGCCACCUCUAUGCCGUAGGUUGACCAUACUAUUGUGAGAAUCUCGGCCAAGAUCAUUCUUUAUAUUAUGUUGGUUCAUCUUGGAAUUCGUAAGGCCGUUUACCGUCGAAGGAUUUACACACAGAACACAAUCAGUGUGAUUAUGCUUUUUUACACUUCUGUCCAGAGCAAUGGAUAUGUAUUUUGUAUUGUACGACUACCCUCUAAUGCACUACUCAGCCUUCAAUCUCUGUAUGUACAAAUGACUUGAUCUAAUUAUUAUGAAUGACCUGUGGAGUGCGAUGCUUUCUAUAUAAAUGACUUGUUCUAAUUCUGAUUUAUCAUAUUGCAUAGCUUUUGA